This is a long non-coding RNA of Vigna unguiculata (cowpea), 1189 nucleotides long. NCBI's taxonomy places the organism in Eukaryota, Viridiplantae, Streptophyta, Magnoliopsida, Fabales, Fabaceae. The record is from RefSeq and is a predicted model, not a curated record.
UUUCAUUUAACCCAUUGAGUGAAACGCCUCCCUCAACGUUGGCGGUGGGUAAUUUAAAGUUGUCAACCCUCAUUCCUGCAGUAGAGAAGAAGGUGUGGGUAGUGUGUGUGCAGAUCAAUUCUGUAGUAGAGAAGAAGCAGAGUAGAGUGCAACAUGGGUGGUUCUUUCGUAGGGCGUGUGCACAAUAAUUUCGUCCACCUAAGAGUCAGAUAAAGAUGGUAAUAACUAGAGGAGGUGGAUCUCAAAGUGAUCAUAUAUGGCCAACUACAGCCCAAGUAAUUUUGAAUUUGAAGUUGUUGAAGAUGAACCUCUGGAGGAAAAUGUUAGCGAGGAGGACCAUCAUGUUGGUGAAGAAGGAAAUUUUGAAGGACUAGUGGACAAGUCCUUGUUUGUUUCUUAUGAUGACCAUGUUGCUAGAUAAUUGUGGAAUGAAGUGGCAUGGAUUUAUGAGCACUUCCUAACUAUUGGGUUUAUGGAUGUUAUACCUGAUUAUACAAAGGAUGAGCCUCGAUGCAGGAGCUAUCAAGUGAGGAGACUAUCAGCCAUAGGAAUUGUACAAUUAUAAUUGGAUAACCUUGUCCAGUUUGGUGUGAAUUUUACCCAUACAAUGAACAUAUACAAAGUCAACCUUUUGAAUAAUUAUCGUUGUUCUCGGGAUAUUUUAGGUUGGGCCCAUUCAUACAACUACACUUGCCUGAACGUGUGCUUCGUCAAUAUGGGUAUAUGCAAACCAUUCCUCGGUAUCCAUCAAUAGUCACUGAUGGGAAUACUAAUACAGCCGAAAUGGAUCGAUGUUGGAUCCAUUUUUGAUCAAUAUGUGCUCCAUAAUGUGUUGGGGGAUCAUGUCGGUGCUUGUGCACCAAGGUAUAUGGAUUUGUUUAUGUUUGUGUCGCAUUCAUACAUGGUUCAAAGGGAUGAUACUAAGUGACCUCAUGGUAUGCCACCGAUGGCAUGUGCAAAGGAGGGGGCCCAUAAUGAACCACAUGACGUUCAUCCAAUGCAUCUUGUUGUGAUGAGAUUUUAUUUCUUUUUGGUAUGUUUAUUAUUGAAUUAAUAAUGCUGACACACAAACUUUUUUGUAGAAUAUUUGUAUGAGGAUCACAGAGACCUUACAACCUCUUUCUUUAUCAUCUUUUCUUCAAUUUUUAUGUUACUUUUGCAUUUCACGGAGGGCUAAACAUUCAAAGUU